This 73-nucleotide transfer RNA is filed under the name Danio rerio (zebrafish). RNAcentral describes it as "tRNA-Arg (TCT) (tRNA-Arg-TCT-12-1)". It matches the Rfam family "tRNA". From Rfam's summary of the family: Transfer RNA (tRNA) molecules are approximately 80 nucleotides in length. Their secondary structure includes four short double-helical elements and three loops (D, anti-codon, and T loops). Further hydrogen bonds mediate the characteristic L-shaped molecular structure. tRNAs have two regions of fundamental functional importance: the anti-codon, which is responsible for specific mRNA codon recognition, and the 3' end, to which the tRNAs corresponding amino acid is attached (by aminoacyl-tRNA synthetases). tRNAs cope with the degeneracy of the genetic code in two manners: having more than one tRNA (with a specific anti-codon) for a particular amino acid; and 'wobble' base-pairing, i.e. permitting non-standard base-pairing at the 3rd anti-codon position. Lineage: Eukaryota; Metazoa; Chordata; Actinopteri; Cypriniformes; Danionidae. The record is from RNAcentral. RNAcentral also lists the same sequence under 2 other names.
GGCUCUGUGGCGCAAUGGAUAGCGCAUUGGACUUCUAAUUCAAAGGUUGUGGGUUCAAGUCCCACCAGAGUCG